This 349-nucleotide ribosomal RNA is filed under the name Shigella flexneri. RNAcentral describes it as "bacterial SSU rRNA". It matches the Rfam family "Bacterial small subunit ribosomal RNA", at positions 1 to 347 of the family's 1533-position model. Lineage: Bacteria; Pseudomonadati; Pseudomonadota; Gammaproteobacteria; Enterobacterales; Enterobacteriaceae. The record is from RNAcentral.
AAAUUGAAGAGUUUGAUCAUGGCUCAGAUUGAACGCUGGCGGCAGGCCUAACACAUGCAAGUCGAACGGUAACAGGAAGCGCUUGCUGCUUCGCUGACGAGUGGCGGACGGGUGAGUAAUGUCUGGGAAACUGCCUGAUGGAGGGGGAUAACUACUGGAAACGGUAGCUAAUACCGCAUAACGUCGCAAGACCAAAGAGGGGGACCUUCGGGCCUCUUGCCAUCGGAUGUGCCCAGAUGGGAUUAGCUUGUUGGUGGGGUAACGGCUCACCAAGGCGACGAUCCCUAGCUGGUCUGAGAGGAUGACCAGCCACACUGGAACUGAGACACGGUCCAGACUCCUACGGGAG